CGUAGUGGCGCACGGGUGCGUAACGCGUGGGAAUCUACCCUUGGGUUCGGAAUAACAGUUAGAAAUGACUGCUAAUACCGGAUGAUGACUUCGGUCCAAAGAUUUAUCGCCCAGGGAUGAGCCCGCGUAGGAUUAGCUAGUUGGUGAGGUAAAGGCUCACCAAGGCGACGAUCCUUAGCUGGUCUGAGAGGAUGAUCAGCCACACUGGGACUGAGACACGGCCCAG
RNAcentral lists this ribosomal RNA (226 nucleotides) under uncultured bacterium. RNAcentral describes it as "partial 16S ribosomal RNA". It matches the Rfam family "Bacterial small subunit ribosomal RNA", at positions 91 to 334 of the family's 1533-position model. The record is from RNAcentral.